GUCGAACGAUGAUGCCCAGCUUGCUGGGCGGAUUAGUGGCGAACGGGUGAGUAAUACGUGAGUAACCUGCCCUUGACUCUGGGAUAAGCCUGGGAAACUGGGUCUAAUACUGGAUACUACCUCUUACCGCAUGGUGGGUGGUGGAAAGGGUUUUACUGGUUUUGGAUGGGCUCACGGCCUAUCAGCUUGUUGGUGGGGUAAUGGCUCACCAAGGCGACGACGGGUAGCCGGCCUGAGAGGGUGACCGGCCACACUGGGACUGAGACACGGCCCAGACUCCUACGGGAGGCAGCAGUGGGGAAUAUUGCACAAUGGGCGGAAGCCUGAUGCAGCGACGCCGCGUGAGGGAUGACGGCCUUCGGGUUGUAAACCUCUUUCAGUAGGGAAGAAGCGAGAGUGACGGUACCUGCAGAAGAAGCGCCGGCUAACUACGUGCCAGCAGCCGCGGUAAUACGUAGGGCGCAAGCGUUGUCCGGAAUUAUUGGGCGUAAAGAGCUCGUAGGCGGUUUGUCGCGUCUGCUGUGAAAGCCCGGGGCUCAACCCCGGGUCUGCAGUGGGUACGGGCAGACUAGAGUGCAGUAGGGGAGACUGGAAUUCCUGGUGUAGCGGUGAAAUGCGCAGAUAUCAGGAGGAACACCGAUGGCGAAGGCAGGUCUCUGGGCUGUUACUGACGCUGAGGAGCGAAAGCAUAGAGUGCAGUAGGGGAGACUGGAAUUCCUGGUGUAGCGGUGAAAUGCGCAGAUAUCAGGAGGAACACCGAUGGCGAAGGCAGGUCUCUGGGCUGUUACUGACGCUGAGGAGCGAAAGCAUGGGGAGCGAACAGGAUUAGAUACCCUGGUAGUCCAUGCCGUAAACGUUGGGCACUAGGUGUGGGGGACAUUCCACGUUUUCCGCGCCGUAGCUAACGCAUUAAGUGCCCCGCCUGGGGAGUACGGCCGCAAGGCUAAAACUCAAAGGAAUUGACGGGGGCCCGCACAAGCGGCGGAGCAUGCGGAUUAAUUCGAUGCAACGCGAAGAACCUUACCAAGGCUUGACAUUCACCGGACCGCCCCAGAGAUGGGGUUUCCCUUCGGGGCUGGUGGACAGGUGGUGCAUGGUUGUCGUCAGCUCGUGUCGUGAGAUGUUGGGUUAAGUCCCGCAACGAGCGCAACCCUCGUUCUAUGUUGCCAGCACGUGAUGGUGGGGACUCAUAGGAGACUGCCGGGGUCAACUCGGAGGAAGGUGGGGAUGACGUCAAAUCAUCAUGCCCCUUAUGUCUUGGGCUUCACGCAUGCUACAAUGGCCGGUACAAAGGGUUGCGAUACUGUGAGGUGGAGCUAAUCCCAAAAAGCCGGUCUCAGUUCGGAUUGAGGUCUGCAACUCGACCUCAUGAAGUCGGAGUCGCUAGUAAU
This 1391-nucleotide ribosomal RNA is filed under the name Kocuria rosea. RNAcentral's name for it is "bacterial SSU rRNA". It matches the Rfam family "Bacterial small subunit ribosomal RNA", at positions 61 to 1342 of the family's 1533-position model. The record is from RNAcentral. Lineage: Bacteria; Bacillati; Actinomycetota; Actinomycetes; Micrococcales; Micrococcaceae.